UGACCACCCGAUAAGGGUUGAGGCCAUACGGACAGCCGGGUCAACUGCCGA
RNAcentral lists this small RNA (51 nucleotides) under uncultured Blautia sp. Its description in RNAcentral is "Streptococcus sRNA SpF59 (ldcC RNA)". It matches the Rfam family "Streptococcus sRNA SpF59 (ldcC RNA)". The record is from RNAcentral. Lineage: Bacteria; Bacillati; Bacillota; Clostridia; Lachnospirales; Lachnospiraceae.